This 320-nucleotide long non-coding RNA is filed under the name Ananas comosus (pineapple). Its description in RNAcentral is "long non-coding RNA (ACOM_LNC030499)". The record is from RNAcentral. Lineage: Eukaryota; Viridiplantae; Streptophyta; Magnoliopsida; Poales; Bromeliaceae.
AAAUAGUUGGGUUUGAUCUAUGUUGAGUGGUCUGAAACCUAAUUGUUGUGUCUCCGAACGCGUAGGAAGCGACGGUUCGUCGAUUCGUCGAGCGGGUGCGACGUUCCGGCUGAAUCAAGUGUUCGUAGUUCAGAGUUGACCGGGGGCCGAGGCGACGUUCUAAAAUCACGAGAUCGGAUCCGGGGCACCGUAGUAAGAAACCGAAGAGUUUCUGCACUUGAAAUCGCGAAGCGGAGAUCGUUUGGUGGUCGCGCGUGAUUAGGGUCAAGCCGAGCGGCGUGCGCCACGGGAGGCCGAUUGCGAGUGACGACGAGCAAUCG